Long non-coding RNA from Prosopis cineraria, 358 nucleotides. RefSeq lists it as uncharacterized. Lineage: Eukaryota; Viridiplantae; Streptophyta; Magnoliopsida; Fabales; Fabaceae. The transcript is spliced from 2 exons. The record is from RefSeq and is a predicted model, not a curated record.
GAGGAACGUCACAGUUUCUUUCGGCUUUCUUCUCUACGCUAGCUCGGUAAGCUCAAGCACCCCCCAUAAAAUAUUAUAACUGACGCUCUCAGCUCCUGGCCACCUGUAGAAGAAAAGGGUCGAUAUUAACACGGAUCUAAUAGUCCCUCAACCCAUUAAGAUGGCUUAAUCAUCCCUGCACUUUCCCAUCAAGUUUGUAAAGGCUCGAUUGUUUCCCUCUUGACGCGGUAAUUAAACGGCAGGGCAAUUCAAGCAACUUUUUGUCCUUUCCCUUAAUUAGGGACACUUACACCUACAAAUAUACAUUUACACAUCCUGCAGAAUUGUGGAAUGAAUUUUCAUCUCGUUGACAGGGACU